AAGGCCAAAGAGGAAGUUUGGCCUGGAUCCCGAAGUGUGGAGACAGUAAGAGACUUUCCUAUGGCAAAAGGUUCCCAGCCUCCGGGAUGUGACAGCAUUGAAGAAGGAUUCUCUCGUUUUCCUUUCUGGAAUUAGGGGCAGUGCUUUGAUCAAACAGGCAUCCUGACAAUGCUAAAUAGAAUUGGUAGAUUUGGUGUUUUAUGUGAACUGACAACACUUGAGGAAAAGCAAGAGAAAACCUGAGGUCAAGUACCUGUCAUGGUAUGACUGGAUUCCCUGCUCAGCAUCUCACCAGGCUACAAUUAAGGUUUGACAACAGGAGUGUGAACAAAGACAAAAGAGACAUGAGGCUUAAAGAGAUGUUGCUGCUGCCCCACAAUGUAUGUCCCAUGUUGAAAUCACAGAAUUGAAACUAGAGGUGUUUGCAAAUGAAACCAGAAAUCCGAUCAUUAAAACUGCAAUAUCGCUGGUGCCUUCUAAAGACCAGAGCACUCAACUGUCUCCAGAUUAAAGCUCCUGGUCUUCCACCCUGCAGAAAUGGCUGAGAAACAUCGUAAGGAUACUUAAAAGUUGGAAAACUUGCUAUGGUUAAAGAGGUGGAUUACAACACUCAGAAGUCUGCAUGAGAACAGAACUUGCGUCGCAGACAGAAAAGACACCUAGAGAAAGCAUGGCAUGUAAGCAGCGUGUUCUCACAGGAUGAGAGAUUCUCACAAGAAGGAAAUGUCUUGCUCAUCCUAGAGAAAGUUUCAUCAAAUUAUAAUGUAGUAUGUAUAUUAACUUAGGUACAUGCUCUAGUAAUAGCUCUGCUAUAAUUUGUAAAAAAUCAAAUAACAGUAGGCACGCCUGGAUGGCUCAGUCAGUUAAGCGUCUGACUUUGGCUCAGGUCAUGAUUUCACAGUUUGUGGGUUUGAGCCCCGUGUCAGGCUCUAUGCUGACAGCUCAGAGCCUGGAGCCUGCUUCAGAUUCUGUGUCUCCCUCUC
Molecule: long non-coding RNA, 983 nt
Organism: Panthera uncia (snow leopard)
Lineage: Eukaryota; Metazoa; Chordata; Mammalia; Carnivora; Felidae
Exons: 7
Source: RefSeq, a predicted model, not a curated record